Sorex araneus (European shrew) is the source of this 208-nucleotide small nucleolar RNA. RefSeq annotates it as small nucleolar RNA U3. The record is from RefSeq and is a predicted model, not a curated record. Lineage: Eukaryota; Metazoa; Chordata; Mammalia; Eulipotyphla; Soricidae. The transcript has a single exon.
AAGUCUAUACUUUUAGGGAUCACUUCUACGGUUUGUAAUUAGAAUAGGUUCUCUGAUAGUGUAGAGCACCAGAAACCAAGAGGAAGAACAUCCUCCCCUGAGCAAGAAGCCAGUACUAGGUGUUGCUUUUGCAACUGCCUUUAACUGUUGACAACCAUUCUUCUCUUCCACGGGAUGAGGAAGAGGGAGAGGAUGCAGUCUGAGUGAU